GUGUUGUUUGUGUUUGUUUUCACAACCUUAAGUUUCACUAUCACUUUUCAAACAAAGUUAUUAUAAGCAAAAACACAAUCUUUCUCCCAAAACUUUACUAAGUAGUUUUGUUGCCUAAAUCUAAAGAAGCUGUUUUGUUUGCGUUCAAAA
This is a long non-coding RNA of Sebastes umbrosus (honeycomb rockfish), 150 nucleotides long. RefSeq lists it as uncharacterized. NCBI's taxonomy places the organism in Eukaryota, Metazoa, Chordata, Actinopteri, Perciformes, Sebastidae. The transcript is spliced from 3 exons. The record is from RefSeq and is a predicted model, not a curated record.